AUUACAACACAAUCAUGCCAAUGCACAUGAUGUCAUGUCAAGUUUUAGUUCUAGUAACACCAGGGUGCAGACCACCGGAGCCCCCUCCUCUUCCUUGUGCAUGGUGACUUCCUCUCCCUCUCCAAGCUGUCGCCGCCCACCGCCUUAGUUCGCGGACAACGGCCUCAUCUUCCUCGUGUAGACCACCAGAGCCCCCUCCUCUUCCUCGUGCAGAGCACUGGAUCCCCAUCUUCCUCACGCAGAGCACGAACAUAGGAGAUUUGCAAAGCCUCAUCAAGACGGCAAGAGAUCUACAAAGUCCAAAUCAGUAACCAUCUGCUGAAGGUGAUACAAUGUAACAUGUGCAAGCAUAAGAAGUUUUUUCAGAAGAUCAAAGGGAUGGAGCUCUGUGGUGCUAAAUAGAUGUUUAAAGGAAAGUCAUGAUGAGCAAAGCCAUUGUUGUCAUGAAUCAAAAAAUCCUACCAUGUCCAUGGCAAAAAGUUGUUUCUGCAUACAUAUUUUAAGGGUUGUGUUUUAUUGAAUCUGUUUGAUUUUAUUGAUUUUUAA
Long non-coding RNA from Zea mays, 546 nucleotides. RefSeq lists it as uncharacterized. The transcript is spliced from 3 exons. The record is from RefSeq and is a predicted model, not a curated record. Lineage: Eukaryota; Viridiplantae; Streptophyta; Magnoliopsida; Poales; Poaceae.